ACACUUUACUUGAGUGACUCACUCCUCUUUACUGUUCUCCUAACUGCCUCAUUAUCUUCCGGCUAGCCCUGAGCACGAGGAAUAUUUCCUUUCUCCUGGUGUUAUAGCAAUCCUAAUCAAACUGGGACUAAAAAGUCUAGAGGAAGAUGUGAAGAAGACCACUGUGAAGCUUGAAAGCUUGUCUCCUCCAAUAACAAUCAAGGAUAUUAUCUUACCCACCUUGUCUUUGAGCCUUGCUUGAAUAGUCUUUUAUCUGCAGAACCCCCUGGCCAUCAGUGUGGGGAAACAUUCAAAGAGGAAGCACCGUUUAGCUGGAGUAAUCAUCAUCGUCAUCAUGAAGUGCUUAUCAGAAAGGAAGACAAAAUGCAAUUAGGGUAGAUUUACAAUUGGACCAAUAAUUACUAUUCAGAUGUCUCAGCUGUAUGGAAAAUACAUGAUUCUGAACCAUGA
Non-coding RNA from Pelodiscus sinensis (Chinese soft-shelled turtle), 450 nucleotides. The record is from RefSeq and is a predicted model, not a curated record. NCBI's taxonomy places the organism in Eukaryota, Metazoa, Chordata, Testudines, Trionychidae.